Molecule: ribosomal RNA, 253 nt
Filed under: uncultured bacterium
Lineage: Bacteria
Description: partial 16S ribosomal RNA
Rfam family: Bacterial small subunit ribosomal RNA
Source: RNAcentral
UACGGGGGGGGCAAGCGUUGUUCGGAGUUACUGGGCGUAAAGGGCUCGUAGGCGGCCAACUAAGUCAGACGUGAAAUCCCUCGGCUUAACUGGGGAACUGCGUCUGAUACUGGAUGGCUUGGAUUCGGGAGAGGAAUGCGGAAUUCCAGGUGUAGCGGUGAAAUGCGUAGAUAUCUGGAGGAACACCGGUGGCGAAGGCGGCAUCCUGGACCGACACUGACACUGAGGAGCGAAAGCCAGGGGAGCAAACGGG